CCAGACUCCUACGGGAGGCAGCAGUGAGGAAUAUUGGUCAAUGGCCGAGAGGCUGAACCAGCCAAGUCGCGUGAGGGAUGACGGCCCUACGGGUUGUAAACCUCUUUUGCCGGGGAGCAAAGAGCGGGACGCGUCCCGCCUCGAGAGUACCCGGAGAAAAAGCAUCGGCUAACUCCGUGCCAGCAGCCGCGGUAAUACGGAGGAUGCGAGCGUUAUCCGGAUUUAUUGGGUUAAAAGGGUGCGCGGGCGGCAGCGAAAGUCAGCGAAAAAAGGGAGAGGCCAACCCUCUCCCCGCCGUUGAAACUGCGUUUCUUGAGUGGGCGAGAAGUACGCGGAAUGCGUGGUGUAGCGGUGAAAUGCAUAGAUAUCACGCAGAACUCCGAUUGCGAAGGCAGCGUACCGGCGCCCAACUGACGCUCAUGCACGAAAGCGUGGGUAUCGAACAGGAUUAGAUACCCGCGUA
Molecule: ribosomal RNA, 463 nt
Filed under: uncultured bacterium
Lineage: Bacteria
Description: bacterial SSU rRNA
Rfam family: Bacterial small subunit ribosomal RNA
Source: RNAcentral